This 21-nucleotide small nuclear RNA is filed under the name Arabidopsis thaliana (thale cress). Its description in RNAcentral is "snRNA_00975". The record is from RNAcentral. Lineage: Eukaryota; Viridiplantae; Streptophyta; Magnoliopsida; Brassicales; Brassicaceae.
ACUGUUUGAUUUGUACACUUA